CAACCAAGAGACACAGCCAACUCUAUAAUGGCCUUGAAGCGCAAAAGUCACGUGAUCGAGAUGGUCGAUGUGUUGUUGUGGUAGUGUAUGGUUGUGAAUCCGUGGUUGGCGGAUUUUUAGAUUGUAUAUUUUGCUAUUAAGUGAUUUUAAAUCACUUACGCUAAGGGUUUGUAGCGAUCUCACAGGACUAUAUUUCUUGAAAGGUGCGCUUCGGAUGAAGGCAUAGGAGAACAAGUGGUGAUGCAUCUUGAGGAGAGGAGAAAGCAGACAGGCGUCGCCAGAUUACACUUAGUCUGGACUUGAUGUUGUGAGGAACGAGGUAAAACGCUCCUGGGAUGGAAUAUCGUCUAGCAAUUGUGAAAAGGGUGCAUCAAGCAAAAAUGUUUGAGAAUCAUUGACCUGGAUGGACAGAAGUACUUCACCUUCUUUUAGCAAGUGCUGUCUGUUGUAUUACGUAUUGGGCCGGCAUUAUGUUCCAACAGUCACCUGGUUUCAGUACGAAAGAGCCUCAACACAUUUCUUCAGGAUCGUGCGAAACUUCCUAGACACUGCCUUCCGAAACUAUGGAUUGGUCACGGCAACACCGUCUUUUGGCUUCCCAGAUCUCCCAAUCCGUUCCGCUUCGAUUUUUUUCUUCGGAGACAGUUAUAAAGCGUCGUUUAUGAGACGCUCAUCGAGUCACUUUAUCGUCCGAUUUCGCGUCGCAGUUGGAAGCGCUCGUGAAUUACCA
Long non-coding RNA from Stegodyphus dumicola, 730 nucleotides. NCBI's taxonomy places the organism in Eukaryota, Metazoa, Arthropoda, Arachnida, Araneae, Eresidae. The record is from RefSeq and is a predicted model, not a curated record.